AAAACGCAAAAGCGUGACAAAGGUCAUCCCAAGGGCCUCCGCUGAAGAAAGGUUUUGGCCCAUGGUAAUUAGUGGGGAAAAUAGGGAGAGGGCAAGCCUGGUGUCGCCCGCCGCGGUAAUCCCAGCUCUCCGAGUGGUGUGGAUCUUUAUUGGGCCUAAAGCAUUCGUAGCCGGCUAAAAAAAGUCUCACGUUAAAUCCAGCGUUUUCAAUCGUUGGGCUGCGAGAGAUACUUUUUAGCUAGGGGACGGGAGCGGUCGACGGUAUUUCCAGGGUAGGGGUGAAAUCCUAUAAUCCUGGGAGGACCACCAGUGGCGAAGGCUGUCGACUAGAACGUGCCCGACGGUGAGGGAUGAAAGCUGGGGGAGCGAACCGGAUUAGAUACCCGGGUAGUCCCAGCUGUAAACAAUGCAGGCUAGGUGUUAGAGCGGCUACGUGCCGCUCUAGUGCCGCAGGGAAGCCGUUAAGCCUGCCGCCUGGGGAGUACGGCCGCAAGGCUGAAACUUAAAGGAAUUGGCGGGG
RNAcentral lists this ribosomal RNA (520 nucleotides) under uncultured archaeon. Its description in RNAcentral is "bacterial SSU rRNA". It matches the Rfam family "Archaeal small subunit ribosomal RNA", at positions 354 to 873 of the family's 1478-position model. The record is from RNAcentral.